This is a non-coding RNA of Aedes albopictus (Asian tiger mosquito), 72 nucleotides long. The record is from Rfam. NCBI's taxonomy places the organism in Eukaryota, Metazoa, Arthropoda, Insecta, Diptera, Culicidae.
GACACGGUAGCUUAGUUGGAAAAGCACUUGUCUAACGAAUAAGGGUCGUGAGUUCAAAUCUCACCUGAGCUG